This 866-nucleotide ribosomal RNA is filed under the name uncultured bacterium. Its description in RNAcentral is "bacterial SSU rRNA". It matches the Rfam family "Bacterial small subunit ribosomal RNA", at positions 42 to 879 of the family's 1533-position model. The record is from RNAcentral.
GCGUGCUUAACACAUGCAAGUCGAACGAGAAUAGAUGAGAAGCUUGCUUCUUAUUGAUUCGAGUGGCAAACGGGUGAGUAACGCGUAAGCAACCUGCCCUCUAGAUGGGGACAACAGCUGGAAACGGCUGCUAAUACCGAAUACGUUCUUUCUGUCGCAUGGCAGAGGGAAGGAAGGGAGGCUCUUUGGAGCUUUCGCUGGAGGAGGGGCUUGCGUCUGAUUAGCUAGUUGGAGGGGUAACGGCCCACCAAGGCGACGAUCAGUAGCCGGUCUGAGAGGAUGAACGGCCACAUUGGGACUGAGACACGGCCCAGACUCCUACGGGAGGCAGCAGUGGGGAAUCUUCCGCAAUGGACGAAAGUCUGACGGAGCAACGCCGCGUGAACGAUGACGGCCUUCGGGUUGUAAAGUUCUGUUAUACGGGACGAAUGGUACGACGGUCAAUACCCGUCGUAAGUGACGGUACCGUAAGAGAAAGCCACGGCUAACUACGUGCCAGCAGCCGCGGUAAUACGUAGGUGGCAAGCGUUGUCCGGAAUUAUUGGGCGUAAAGGGCGCGCCGGCGGCGUCGUAAGUCGGUCUUAAAAGUGCGGGGCUUAACCCCGUGAGGGGACCGAAACUGCGAUGCUAGAGUAUCGGAGAGGAAAGCGGAAUUCCUAGUGUAGCGGUGAAAUGCGUAGAUAUUCGGAGGAACACAGUGGCGAAAGCGGCUAUCUGGACGACAACUGACGAUGAGGCGCGAAAGCCAGGCGAGCAAACGGGAUGAGAUACCCCGGUAGUCGGGGCCGUUUACGAUGGAUACUAGGUGCAGGAGGUAUCGACCCCUUCUGUGCCGGAGUUAACGCAAUAAGUAUCCCGCCUGGGGA